GAUGAACGCUGGCGGCGUGCCUAAUACAUGCAAGUCGAGCGAACAGACGAGGAGCUUGCUCCUCUGACGUUAGCGGCGGACGGGUGAGUAACACGUGGAUAACCUACCUAUAAGACUGGGAUAACUUCGGGAAACCGGAGCUAAUACCGGAUAAUAUAUUGAACCGCAUGGUUCAAUAGUGAAAGACGGUUUUGCUGUCACUUAUAGAUGGAUCCGCGCCGCAUUAGCUAGUUGGUAAGGUAACGGCUUACUAAGGCAACGAUGCGUAGCCGACCUGAGAGGGUGAUCGGCCACACUGGGACUGAGACACGGUCCAGACUCCUACGGGAGGCAGCAGUAGGGAAUCUUCCGCAAUGGGCGAAAGCCUGACGGAGCAACGCCGCGUGAGUGAUGAAGGUCUUCGGAUCGUAAAACUCUGUUAUUAGGGAAGAACAAAUGUGUAAGUAACUAUGCACGUCUUGACGGUACCUAAUCAGAAAGCCACGGCUAACUACGUG
Molecule: ribosomal RNA, 497 nt
Filed under: uncultured bacterium
Lineage: Bacteria
Description: partial 16S ribosomal RNA
Rfam family: Bacterial small subunit ribosomal RNA
Source: RNAcentral